GACGAACGCUGGCGGCGUGCUUAACACAUGCAAGUCGAACGGAAAGGCCCUGCUUUUGUGGGGUGCUCGAGUGGCGAACGGGUGAGUAACACGUGAGUAACCUGCCCUUGACUUUGGGAUAACUUCAGGAAACUGGGGCUAAUACCGGAUAGGAGCUCCUGCUGCAUGGUGGGGGUUGGAAAGUUUCGGCGGUCGGGGAUGGACUCGCGGCUUAUCAGUUUGUUGGUGGGGUAGUGGCUUACCAAGGCUUUGACGGGUCGCCGGCCUGAGAGGGUGACCGGCGACAUUGGGACUGAGAUACGGCGCAGACUCCUACGGGAGGCAGCAGUGGGGAAUAUUGCACAAUGGGCGGAAGCCUGAUGCAGCAACGCCGCGUGCGGGAUGACGGCCUUCGGGUUGUAAACCGCUUUCGCCUGUGACGAAGCGUGAGUGACGGUAAUGGGUAAAGAAGCACCGGCUAACUACGUG
RNAcentral lists this ribosomal RNA (468 nucleotides) under uncultured bacterium. RNAcentral describes it as "partial 16S ribosomal RNA". It matches the Rfam family "Bacterial small subunit ribosomal RNA", at positions 28 to 507 of the family's 1533-position model. The record is from RNAcentral.